RNAcentral lists this ribosomal RNA (253 nucleotides) under uncultured bacterium. RNAcentral describes it as "partial 16S ribosomal RNA". It matches the Rfam family "Bacterial small subunit ribosomal RNA", at positions 524 to 776 of the family's 1533-position model. The record is from RNAcentral.
UACGUAGGUGGCAAGCGAUACUCGGAAUCACUAGGCGUAAAGCGCAGGUAGGAGGUUUAGUAAGUCUGUUGUGAAAGCUCGGGGCUUAACUCCGGGCCUGCAGUGGGUACGGGCAGACUAGAGUGCGGUAGGGGAGACUGGAAUUCCUGGUGUAGCGGUGAAAUGCGCAGAUAUCAGGAGGAACACCGGUGGCGAAGGCGGGUCUCUGGGCCGUAACUGACGCUGAGGAGCGAAAGCGUGGGGAGCGAACAGG